UCUCCGUUGGUGAACCAGCGGAGGGAUCAUUACCGAGUGCAAACUCAUAACCCUUUGUGAACCUAUAUCUGUUGCUUCGGCGGCUCGCUCUCGGGCGAGCCCGCCGGUAAUAUCAGUAUCUCUGUUUGAACCCGACGAUACUUCUGAGUGUUCUUAGCGAACAGUUAAAACUUUUAACAACGGAUCUCUUGGCUCUAGCACGAUGAAGAACGCAGC
Molecule: unclassified non-coding RNA, 216 nt
Filed under: plant metagenome
Description: partial contains small subunit ribosomal RNA, internal transcribed spacer 1, and 5.8S ribosomal RNA
Rfam family: 5.8S ribosomal RNA (bases 169-216)
Source: RNAcentral